GUAUGUGUUCUCCAUGUAUGUGCAAGAGCCGAAGUAUAGUAUACGUUUAAGAAAAUCCGGCUAAAUUAUUUAGCUGGUAUUUAUGAUAUUGUUUCAAGUACGGUCUUAUAUGCUUUUUGUUUUAUUAAGUCUUUUUUCAUGUGUGCGGUUAAAAUCUUUACAUGCGUGUGUUAUUAUUGUAUGCCGUCUUUAAGAAUGAAACC
Molecule: long non-coding RNA, 203 nt
Filed under: Mytilus galloprovincialis (Mediterranean mussel)
Lineage: Eukaryota; Metazoa; Mollusca; Bivalvia; Mytilida; Mytilidae
Source: RNAcentral